CAGGCCUCCCUCUGCUUGGUUCCAGUCGUGGGCAUGAGUGAAGGUCGAUGCUUGAUGGCUUUAAUGCCAUCGGUGGGAAUGUAUUUAAGCAUCGGCCUUCCCUCAUGCCCACGAUGGUCUACAGUCUUGGGUAUGAGUCAGUGAUGAUGCUUGUUUGUUUAGAUGCUUGUGUUGGAACUUGCUUGUUUAGAUGCUUGCGUUGGAACUUGCUUGUUUAGAUGCUUGUGUUGGAACUUGCUUAAGCAACCGACCUGACGAAGUACCCAUGAAUGUUCAACCUAGUAGGGACAUGUCCCUGCGCCCAACGACAUUUUUUGUCGGGAUCGUGGCAAGUCUGCGAUCCAGGGGGUGAUGUUGAGAGCCUGAAGGCAAGGGGGUGCAAACACCAGUCGGCCUUUGUCCCGAUUGCUGAGUGUUAUGUGCUUGAUGUCCAAGGCUUGAUGCUGAUCCUCCAAGUGGGGCUUGUCCCUGCACUAAUGGCUUUUGCCAGGAUCAUGGCGUUUGCUAUGAUCGAAAAAAUGAGGGGGUGAUGUUGAGAGCCGGAAGGCAAGGGGGUGCAAACACCAGUCGGCCUUUGUCCCGAUUGCUGAGUGUUAUGUGCUUGACGUCUAAGGCUUGAUGUUGACCCUCCAAGUGGGGCUUUUUUGUUCCUGCGGUAACGACUUUGUUGGGAUCAUUGUGAUCAAGUUUGGUUGGUUUCGUAUUGUGGUGGGUUUUUUCGAAGCUUCUAUCGUUGUUUUACGCAUCGUGCGGUGCAUCUUGGGGGUUGUUCUGGCUUUUGGUUGCUUGCUUGGGCUUUAUGCUAGGCGGGUGGCUAAU
Molecule: unclassified non-coding RNA, 819 nt
Filed under: Espeletia marthae
Lineage: Eukaryota; Viridiplantae; Streptophyta; Magnoliopsida; Asterales; Asteraceae
Description: partial external transcribed spacer
Source: RNAcentral